RNAcentral lists this ribosomal RNA (497 nucleotides) under uncultured bacterium. RNAcentral describes it as "partial 16S ribosomal RNA". It matches the Rfam family "Bacterial small subunit ribosomal RNA", at positions 28 to 507 of the family's 1533-position model. The record is from RNAcentral.
GAUGAACGCUGGCGGCGUGCCUAAUACAUGCAAGUCGAGCGAACGGACGAGAAGCUUGCUUCUCUGAUGUUAGCGGCGGACGGGUGAGUAACACGUGGAUAACCUACCUAUAAGACUGGGAUAACUUCGGGAAACCGGAGCUAAUACCGGAUGAUAUUUUGAACCGCAUGGUUCAAAAGUGAAAGACGGUCUUGCUGUCACUUAUAGAUGGAUCCGCGCUGCAUUAGCUAGUUGGUAAGGUAACGGCUUACCAAGGCAACGAGGCGUAGCCGACCUGAGAGGGUGAUCGGCCACACUGGAACUGAGACACGGUCCAGACUCCUACGGGAGGCAGCAGUAGGGAAUCUUCCGCAAUGGGCGAAAGCCUGACGGAGCAACGCCGCGUGAGUGAUGAAGGUCUUCGGAUCGUAAAACUCUGUUAUUAGGGAAGAACAUAUGUGUAAGUAACUGUGCACAUCUUGACGGUACCUAAUCAGAAAGCCACGGCUAACUACGUG